Molecule: unclassified non-coding RNA, 780 nt
Filed under: Melitaea cinxia (Glanville fritillary)
Lineage: Eukaryota; Metazoa; Arthropoda; Insecta; Lepidoptera; Nymphalidae
Description: misc RNA ENSMCXG00005006519.1
Source: RNAcentral
CUUACCAGCGCGAAGCGAGCGCGUGCCGGCGCGCCGACAUUGACGCGCCGCAUGUAAUUGUACACGCCGCCCUGCUAUUUUAGUCUCGUCCGCUGCACUAAUUCGGGCAGGGUUAACGCGGCGGCCUCCCUGAUCGCUGUCAGCCGAUGCACACUCCCGUCGUAUUUUACGCGGACACUCAAAAGCUUACGAGAAUUUCGUUUAAUAUUUGCAAGAGGCGCGCACAAUCACAUCCGCGGUCCUAAAAAUUCGAUGUCCUAAACACCUUCAGCGGUCGGCUAAGUCUGAACUCUAACCCGAUGAACCCGGCGUCAUCGACCUGACGCGAGCACCAGACGAGGGGUUCGUUGACAUCUCGUAGAUGACCUUGCAUCUCAUGUUUGACCCAAAUAUAUAUUAAUGUAAUUUAAGAAAUAAUUUUUAUGAAGGAAACUAUCCAAGUUUAAAAAAUAAUAAAAGAUCUUCGUAUUUAAAAAUUUUCGACGAGUUGAUCGACCUCAGGUGAGAAAUACAACGACACCUUAGGUCGCUACUUUACAUCCGCGAAUGCAUUCUGACCGAGAACGACGCGACAUUGCGAACCUACUAACCCCGCGCCGCAAGGGGUCCUGCGCCCCGCGACCCUCCGAAUCCGGCCUCCCCGCGCCCCCCUUCCGGUCCAUCCGAAAGCUUGUAAAAUACUUAACGUGUAACCCGCGCAGAUCCGUCCGAAAGUAGUAACGAAGGUUUUGCAAAGGAGAUAUGUCGAGCUCGCGGGGCGGGUGGGCGGCAAUACGAACG